UACAGAGGUCUCAAGCGUUUGUUCGGAUUCAUUGGGCGUAAAGGGUGCGUAGGCGGCGCGGUAAGUCGGGUGUGAAAUCUCGGAGCUUAACUCCGAAACUGCAUUCGAUACUGCCGUGCUUGAGGACUGGAGAGGAGACUGGAAUUUACGGUGUAGCGGUGAAAUGCGUAGAUAUCGUAAGGAAGACCAGUGGCGAAGGCGGGUCUCUGGACAGUUCCUGACGCUGAGGCACGAAGGUCAGGGGGAGCAAACGGG
RNAcentral lists this ribosomal RNA (255 nucleotides) under uncultured bacterium. RNAcentral describes it as "partial 16S ribosomal RNA". It matches the Rfam family "Bacterial small subunit ribosomal RNA", at positions 524 to 776 of the family's 1533-position model. The record is from RNAcentral.